Long non-coding RNA from Mauremys mutica (yellowpond turtle), 2510 nucleotides. RefSeq lists it as uncharacterized. The record is from RefSeq and is a predicted model, not a curated record. NCBI's taxonomy places the organism in Eukaryota, Metazoa, Chordata, Testudines, Geoemydidae. The transcript is spliced from 12 exons.
UGGGAAAGGUGGGAUGGGGGAGAGGAGUGAAUGGUGGGGGACCUGUGAGAGGGAAGGUGGGACGUGGACAGUAGAGAAUGGUGGAGGAGCUGUGAGGGGUAAGAUGGGAUGGGCGAGUGGAAGUAAUGGUGACGUAGAUGUGAGGGAGAAGCUGGGACAUGAGGGAGAGGAGUGAAUAAUGGAGAAGCUUUGAGCGGGAAGGUAUGAAUGGUGGAGCAACUGAAAGGCUACCAAUGCUGCCUCCAGUUCCUGCUCCAAAUGAAUGUCUCUCCUGGAAACUGCUCAACUCCUAUUCCUCAGUCUUCUUGCUCCCCAUCUGCAACCUCCACAAGAUCCCUCCUUCUCAACGACAAUCACAUGGGAUCUCAGAUUUGGAAGAGUGAUGAACACUGUCCCAGGGCUCUGUCUUCAGUCGAGGACAGUUGAGAAGGAACUGGAGGGCUCAGGUUGUGUGUAUGCUAGACGUGGCACCAAUGGCACCCAGCGACCCACGCUGACACUGCUACCGUAAAUCUCUGAUCAACGUCGCCAGGAUGUCCUGAUACCUGAAGUGGAAGACCUACAGGGACUCCAAGAGAUGGAAAAUUGACCAAACCUCUUGGUAAAUUCUUCCAAUGGGUGCUGAUAGCUGGUUAUCAAGUCCUCUGCUGGACAUUCUUUAGCUGAACAGAGCCCCCUGAUUAUUAUGAUGCUUUGCUUUCAGAGAGACAGUCAUUCCCAGCCAUUCCUUUAAUUUUGACAACGUUUUCACCUCAGAAGCUGCCUGCUGUGAUGGUCUCUGACAGGCAGAAGAAAACUUGCAAAAGUACAUCAUGGGAGGAGGAACUAGUUGACAAUACUAAAUAUUGUUGCUGGAGAUGGUAUAGCAAUUGCUGUUGCAAUAGUUAACACGAAGAACAGAAACUUUCCAUUCCAAACUGAAAUGAGCUUUGGUGUGUAAACUCAGGUCAAUUAAGCUUAUGGUGACAAUUAUACUGUCAAAAAUAUUCCAGCGCUGCUGAAAAUAGUAGUAGGGAUCUAGAGCAAUGAUUUUCAAGAUCACUUCUGCAGUAAAAAUUCCAGUAAAGACCUGUGACAAAAGAAACAUGCUCUAGUGCCAUGAAGAUAGUAUUCAUCACGAUGCAAAGAGUGAUAGUGAGGUAUCCAAGUUAGGCUGACUGGACUAUAAUCCCCUGGCUCCUCUUUGUUAUUCUUUUUAAAGAUAGGUCCCCUCUAGAAAGACAGGUGUCAUCAAUAGUGACCUGCAUUGGAUUUCAUUUUCCAAAGCACUGAAGAUCUCAUCAUCACCAAAAUCAGUUUUGGAGCCAAUGACUCUGCCAGUUCCAUGGCUUCCUGAAACCUCCUUUCCUUUGCCUCAGUUUCAGCAAUAGUAGCUUUGUUCUGCUCUUCGUAUGCCAUAGUCACUACAGCCAGGAUCAAGUUGAUCAGAUAAAAUGAGCCCACAAAGAUGACCAGCAUAAAAAAGAGCAUUGGAUCUUGUCUUAAACACAGCCCCAAUUCUGCGGAGUUACACAUGUGCAUAGUCUGAUUGAAAUCAUUGGGAGAAUUGGUGCUGGAUAACUGUUUAGAGGACUUAUCCCUACUUUCUGCCUUUUACACUGUGAACUAAGGUUAUCUUUAGACUCUGAACUAGUCAGAGGCUGACUGAAUAUGCAAUAGGCAGAGUUGCAUCAGCGUAACAUAUUAUAAAAGCUGUUUCCAAGCCUACGUGCCUUGGGAGAUGAGAGGAUAACAAUCAUGACGAGGAUGACUAACACUUCAGGUGUUUUUGCAAGAGAUGGUGUGAAUUUAUGGAUGCUCAGAUCUCAUUCUGUAUUCUCUCUAUUUACCUUCCUCGGUGGAGGGUUUGUGAUUUUGCUAACUGUGCUAAUGAAACUAUUGCAAAUUCAAGGUUUUCUAAGUGUAAGUGUUGUAACUGUAAACGUCGGGGUUCCCAAUUUAACAGUAAUUCUAACAACAUUGGGCCUGAUCUUGAGUCUAGAACCUACUAAACGACUAAGUGUUGUCGACUGGGGAUUCUGGAGAAACAGAAGAGGAAGAAAGAAGAUCAGAAGAGAGCUGAAAUCACUGUAGAAGGAAGAGCUGUGGCAGCAGUGACAGCUAAGAAGUCGUGACAGAGCAAAAGGACUGUAGUCAGAUUCGAGGGAAAGAAAACUAUAGAGAAGUAACAUAACAUGACCAAGUUCAACAUACAGUAGGAGGGAAGCAGUGGAGGGAGGACAAGGAGCUGAAAAAGUACAACAGCCGCUCAGGAAGUCUCUAACUCCCACUCCCCAGAAAGGGAAUUGAACUGCCGCGGGAUCUAGUGCAUGGUUUCAGGCAGUUCCACCCCUAUCCACAGCAGUGUGUAGAGUGUCAGCAAUCCAACUCAGCACUGUCUACCAAAGGCCAGCCAAGACCCCCAGAACUCCAGACUAAAGAGCCAGGAGAUGACCUUGCCCCAUCCAGAGUUGAAGACACUCUAAGAGGAUCCUUUUUCAUUUGUUUACGCUGGCCAAUAUUCACAGCAC